RNAcentral lists this ribosomal RNA (503 nucleotides) under uncultured bacterium. RNAcentral describes it as "bacterial SSU rRNA". It matches the Rfam family "Bacterial small subunit ribosomal RNA", at positions 28 to 523 of the family's 1533-position model. The record is from RNAcentral.
GAUGAACGCUAGCGACAGGCUUAACACAUGCAAGUCGAGGGGCAUCACGGGUAGCAAUAUCUGGUGGCGACCGGCGAACGGGUGAGUAACGCGUAUGCAACCUACUUGUAAACGGGAGACAACCUGGAGAAAUUUGGGCUAAACUUCCAUGAGGCAUUAUUACUGCAUGGUAAUGAUGUCAAACGUAAGGUUUACAAAUGGGCAUGCGUAUGAUUAGCUAGUUGGUAGGGUAAUAGCCUACCAAGGCGACGAUCAUUAGGGGUUCUGAGAGGAAGGUCCUCCACAUUGGAACUGAGAUACGGUCCAAACUCCUACGGGAGGCAGCAGUGGGGAAUAUUGGACAAUGGGCGAAAGCCUGAUCCAGCCAUGCCGCGUGUGUGAAGAAGGCCUUAGGGUUGUAAAGCACUUUAAGCGAGGAGGAAGGUUCGUCACCUAAUACGUGGCGGAAUUGACGUUACUCGCAGAAUAAGCACCGGCUAACUCUGUGCCAGCAGCCGCGGUAA